GCACUGUCCUCCCAACCUCAGCCUACAGUUGUACUCCUGGAUGAGAUCUCUGGGAAAGCCAGUGUCCUCAGCAUUGCCUGAUCCUUUAUGCUGCCUUUUCCAUUGCCAUGCUGAGGUGCAGAAGCCUUCUGGGAUCAUGCUGCCCUCCUGCAAGACGAGUGGUUUCACCUCUCCAGUUGGAUGGAGCUGAUGGUCCAGUUGCCAGCUGGCAGGUAUGCCAGUGGGAAGGAACAAUUCUACCCAGCUUGAAGAGUACAGGGCACUUCUGUGAACAAAGUGCAGCGAUGUACAGCCAGUUGUGUGCUCCUCAGAGCUGUCCUGUUCUCCCAUGUCCUUCUGAUAAAGGUGGGAUGUAGUGGGCUAUGGUAAGUACUGCUGGAGCUGUGGGUGUUUGUAAAGGGUAAUGCAUCUCUAACAGGUACUGUCAGACUCUAGCCUAAAAAAGUUUAUGGGAUUGCCUUUGAAGCUGAUUGCAUUUGCCACAUUCAGCCUGCUUUCUUUUUCACUCCUGUCAGAUCCUGAGGGACUGUGCUUUCCCUGAAGCUGGCUGUCAAUGAGAGGUGCCAAAACAGGAAGUAAUGAAAGUGUACUCAUCCUAUCUCACAUGUGAGGCAGAGGAGUGUACAGCAGCAGGAGAUGAUGGCAAGUAUUAAAUCCUUUACGGAAGAUGCUUAGGGAAGUGGUAAGGCCCUUUUGCAAGCAGCUGAGUGCCUUAGCAGAGCCCCACUAACAUGCCUGCUCUCACUGUGCAGGGGCUGUGAGCAUGCUCUUGGGUUGCUUUUGUAUUUGUCAACAAAAAAAAAUUUAAAAAGAAAAAAGAGAAAAUUGCAUUGAACUUUGUGCCACUGGCAGCAUCCAGAAGUUGUUUGAAAAUUGAUGGGAGAUUAUUUCCAGCAGCCCACAGGAACAUCGUAAUCUGGGUCAGCUGCUGGGAUGUUUGCCAUGAAAGCAUGGCGCUAUGUUUUUAGAAGAGGAAAAAUCUAUGUCUUUUUAAUCUCCUUUGCUGCUGCACAUGUAGCAGUUUCAGCCCUGAAUCCACAGUUCGUGAAUUCAAAUGUCUGAUGCUAUGAGCAGAGCAUGUGGCCUUCAGUGAGAACAAAUGUUUUUAACGUUCC
This 1115-nucleotide long non-coding RNA is filed under the name Coturnix japonica (Japanese quail). RNAcentral describes it as "lncRNA (ENSCJPG00005021011.1)". The record is from RNAcentral. Lineage: Eukaryota; Metazoa; Chordata; Aves; Galliformes; Phasianidae.